This 570-nucleotide ribosomal RNA is filed under the name uncultured Corynebacterium sp. RNAcentral's name for it is "bacterial SSU rRNA". It matches the Rfam family "Bacterial small subunit ribosomal RNA", at positions 338 to 918 of the family's 1533-position model. Lineage: Bacteria; Bacillati; Actinomycetota; Actinomycetes; Mycobacteriales; Corynebacteriaceae. The record is from RNAcentral.
CCUACGGGAGGCAGCAGUGGGGAAUAUUGCACAAUGGGCGCAAGCCUGAUGCAGCGACGCCGCGUGGGGGAUGACGGCCUUCGGGUUGUAAACCUCUUUCGACAGGGACGAAGCUUUGGUGACGGUACCUGUAUAAGAAGCACCGGCUAACUACGUGCCAGCAGCCGCGGUAAUACGUAGGGUGCGAGCGUUGUCCGGAAUUACUGGGCGUAAAGAGCUCGUAGGUGGUUUGUCGCGUCGUCUGUGAAAUUCCGGGGCUUAACUUCGGGCGUGCAGGCGAUACGGGCAUAACUUGAGUGCUGUGGGGGAGACUGGAAUUCCUGGUGUAGCGGUGGAAUGCGCAGAUAUCAGGAGGAACACCGAUGGCGAAGGCAGGUCUCUGGGCAGUAACUGACGCUGAGGAGCGAAAGCAUGGGGAGCGAACAGGAUUAGAUACCCUGGUAGUCCAUGCCGUAAACGGUGGGCGCUAGGUGUAGGGGUCUUCCACGACUUCUGUGCCGUAGCUAACGCAUUAAGCGCCCCGCCUGGGGAGUACGGCCGCAAGGCUAAAACUCAAAUGAAUUGACGGGG